GGAAGGAUCAUUAUCGAGCGUGGCUCGUAUAGAGAGAGUUUGAAUUGGGUUUGCUGGUGGAUUCAUACGGUAGGCGCUUUGCGCAAUCCCGUUCCAGCAAGCUAACAGAUUCAUUUCUAGCCGUAUUGUGGUGGUUUUGUAGUUGGUAUUAGAGAGCUACCAACCUGUUCCAUAUAGCAAAACUACUAACGGUACACAGUCUAGAUUUGUUUCUAAGCCACUUUGGGUACCUAUCUGGUAUGGCUCGUAGUUUUGGCAGGCUACGCGAUAGGUCAUACUAGAGACCGUUUUCGAACGGUUAGGUUUAAUGAGUUUUCAGUGUUAUAUGGCGGUGUGAGUUGCACACACCGUAAGCUCGCUUGUGAACGGAUUUUUGUUCACCACUGAAAGCCGCCCACAAACUCCUUUUAAACUAUUUUAAUAUGUAAUUAGAUUUGGCUUGCCAUUUCUAUAAAAAAAUCAUUCCAAGCGGUGGAUCACUUGGCUCGUGGGUCGAUGAAGAACGCAGCUAGCUGCGUGAAUUAAUGUGAAUUGCAGACACAUUGAACAUCGACAUUUCGAACGCACAUUGCGGCUUUGGGUUUUCCCGAAGCUACGCCUGUCUGAGGGUCGCAUUUGUGACAGCAUAUGGUGUCUUACCCGUAUAACGGAUUGUGGUUAUACUGAUUCUAGACGCCAAAUUGGAUUGCUGACGUUGGGAUUUCUGAUAGUGGAUUGUUACUAUCAAAUCAACGUUACCAGUCUCGAGAAAUGACUAGUGGCCAUAGGAUUGUUUAUGGCUAUACUAAAAACCUUUCGGUGUGAUCAGACACGUGAGUCUGUUCCUGUUGCGUGAUUUUUUGCGACUUGGAACUAAAUAGUGUCACUAGCCGAAGCGGUUUCAUUUUUCGACCUCAGAUCAGACGUGAGUACCCGCUGAAUUUAAGCAUAUUAAUAGGCGGAGGAAAAGAAACUAACAAGGAUUCCCAUAGUAACGGCGAGUGAACUGGGAUAGGCUCAGCGCUGAAUCUUACAGUUUAAGACUGUCAAGAAUUGUAGCGUUUAGGUAACCUUUUCUGGUUUAGUCAAGCUUUCUGAGUCCCCUUGAACGGGGCCACUGCCCAGAGCGGGUGCAAGGCCCAUUCGAAAGUAGACUAUAUCAGUAUGAGGUAUACCUUAGAGUCGGGUUGCUUGAGAGUGCAGCCCAAAUGCGUGGUAAACUCCAUGCAAAGCUAAAUACCACCACGAGACCGAUAGCAAACAAGUACCGUGAGGGAAAGUUGCAAAGAACUUUGAAGAGAGAGUUAAAAGGGCGUGAAACCGCUUGGAAGUAAACGGGUGGAGCUGCAAUGCAGUCUACAGAAUUCAAUUUAUCGGGCGUAUAUCGAGUGGUAAGCGAUCGUAAGACGUGAACUAUUCGUUUGUGCGUUUCGGUGAGUGUAUUUUCUGUAGACGAGCGUCACGACCGAUUGAUCCGCUAACAGAACGGUGAAAUGACUGCGGACUGUUACUUCGGUAUCAGUUGCCCAUCAAUCACCCUGUUUGAGUCGGAACGAUCGAGUAUAGACCGCGUCGGAUUGUCGCAUGCGUUUUGAUAUAUGGGUUGAAUUUAUAACUUACAAGGCAUGCUUGCAUGACUUGUAGACCCUCAACUCAGACUGUCUUUACGUUUUGCAUUGACGCAUAUGGUCUGUGACGUCUGUGUCAGUCUCCCACCCGACCCGUCUUGAAACACGGACCAAGGAGUCUAACAUGUGCGCAAGUCAUUGGGUUUAAAACCCAAAGGCGAAAUGAAAGUGAAGCUUGGUGGGAUUCCUAGUCUGCGGACUUGGACGCACCACCGUCCCGUCUGAUCUGCUUGUCAGAUAGGCGGAGAAAGAGCGUACACGUUGGGACCCGAAAGAUGGUGAACUAUGCCUGAGCAGGAUGAAGCCAGAGGAAACUCUGGUGGAAGUCCGUAGCGGUUCUGACGUGCAAAUCGAUCGUCAGACUUGGGUAUAGGGGCGAAAGACUAAUCGAACCAUCUAGUAGCUGGUUCCCUC
This 2021-nucleotide unclassified non-coding RNA is filed under the name uncultured fungus. Its description in RNAcentral is "sequence contains 18S rRNA gene, ITS1, 5.8S rRNA gene, ITS2, 28S rRNA gene". The stretch from base 889 to 2021 matches the Rfam family "Eukaryotic large subunit ribosomal RNA", at positions 1 to 961 of the family's 3401-position model. Lineage: Eukaryota; Fungi. The record is from RNAcentral.